GUCCCUCCCAGGCGGGAGCAGAACAGGCGGCGCCGGGCGGCCGCGGAGCCAUGGACGGCAGCGGGCCCUUCAGCUGCCCCAUCUGCCUGGAGCCGCUGCGGGAGCCGGUGACGCUGCCCUGCGGCCACAACUUCUGCCUCGCCUGCCUGAGCGCGCUCUGGCCGCACCGCGGCGCGGGCGGACCCAGCGCCCCCGGGGGCGCAGCCCGCUGCCCGCUGUGCCAGGAGCCCUUCCCCGACGGCCUGCAGCUCCGCAAGAACCACACGCUGUCCGAGCUGCUGCAGCUCCGCCAGGGCUCGGGCCCCGGGCCCGGGCCCGGCCGGACCUCGGCUCCGGCCCCGGCCCCCGAGCCCGCGGCCCCCAGCGCGCCCCCCAGCGCCCCCGAGCCGUCGGCUCCCUGCGCGCCCGAGCCAUGGGCCGCGGGCGAAGAGCCGGUGCGCUGCGACGCGUGCCCCGAGGGCGCCGCCCUGCCCGCCGCGCUCUCCUGCCUCUCCUGCCUCGCCUCCUUCUGCCCCGCGCACCUGGGGCCGCACGAGCGCAGCCCCGCGUUACGCGGGCACCGCCUGGUGCCGCCGCUGCGCCGGCUGGAGGAGAGCCUGUGCCCGCGCCACCUGCGGCCGCUGGAGCGCUACUGCCGCGCCGAGCGCCUGUGCCUGUGCGAGGCCUGCGCCGCCCAGGAGCACCGCGGCCACGAGCUGGUGCCGCUGGAGCAGGAGCGCGCGCUCCAGGAGGCCGAGCAGCCCAAAGUGCUGAGUGCCGUGGAGGACCGCAUGGAUGAGCUGGGCGCCGGCAUUGCCCAGUCCCGGCGGACCGUGGCCCUCAUCAAGAGCGCAGCGGUGGCUGAGCGGGAGAGGGUGAGCCAGCUGUUUGCGGAGGCUGCAGCCACCCUGCAGGGGUUCCAGAAGGAGGUGCUGGGCUUCAUCGAGGAGGGGGAGGCCGCCAUGCUGAGCCGCUCCCAGGGCGACCUUCGGCGGCAGGAGGAGCAGCGCAGCAGGCUGAGCCGGGCCCGCCACAACCUCAGCCAGGUCCCCGAGGCCGACUCAGUGAGCUUCCUGCAGGAGCUGCUGGCGCUCAGGCUGGCCCUGGAGGAGGGGUGCGGCCCCGGGCCUGGCCCCCCGCGGGAGCUCGGCUUCACUAAGUCAUCCCAGGCCGUGAAGGCGGUGAGAGAGGUGCUGGCCGCGGCCUGCGCCAGCCAGUGGGGGCAGCUGCGGGGGCUGAGCGGUGACGAGGACGGGCCGCACAAGCUCGGCCCAGAAGCUGAUGCUGAGUCCCAGGACCCAGAUAAUAGCAGCCACCUGGACAGCGAGGUGCCCCGGGAUUACUUCCUCAAGUUCGCCUACAUCGUGGACCUGGACAGUGACACGGCGGACAAGUUCCUGCAGCUGUUCGGAACGAAAGGCGUGAAGAGGGUGCUGUGUCCCAUCAGCUACCCCGAGUCCCCCACCCGCUUCACGCACUGCGAGCAGGUGCUGGGCGAGGGCGCCCUGGACCGGGGCACCUACUACUGGGAGGUGGAGAUCAUCGAGGGCUGGGUCAGCGUGGGCGUCAUGGCUGAAGAUUUCUCCCCACAAGAGCCCUACGACCGGGGCCGGCUCGGCCGCAACGCCCACUCCUGCUGCCUGCAGUGGAACGGACGUGGCUUCUCCGUCUGGUUCCACGGGCAGGAGGCGCCCCUGCCGCACGCCUUCUCGCCCACGGUUGGGGUCUGCCUGGAGUAUGCCGACCGAGCCCUGGCCUUCUACGCCGUGCGGGACGGCAAGGUGAGCCUUCUGCGCCGGCUGAAGGCCACCCGGGCCCGCAGGAGCGGCCCCCCGGCCUCCCCCGGGGACCCCUUCCAGAGCGCCCUGGACAGCCACUUCCCGGGGCUCUUCAGGAGCCGGCUGAAGCCUGCCUUCUUCCUGGAGAGCGUGGACGCCCACCUGCAGAUCGGGCCCCUCAAGAAGUCCUGCAUAUCAGUGCUCAAGAGGAGGUAAUGCGGGCGCCGGCCCGGCCGCUGCCUCGGCUCCUGGCAUUUGCGACUCCGCAGCCACGUGUCCUCAGUCCCCGGCAGCCUCAUUUCUAAAAGAACACUUGGCCUCCUGCCUUUCAGGGAGGGGGCCUCCCAGACCCUCCCAAGUGCCUCUCAGGCCCCCCUCCCCCCACUGCAGGCCUUGUUUCCGGGAGAGAGAGCCACAGCCAGGACAGAUCCAGGCUACCCCAAGCCCUCCUUUUCCAGGUGCCUAGGACAGUGCCUGGCACACACCUCGCUCUGGACCUGCUUUGUGGUGUUUGUGCCCAGGACUAACUGCAGACAUCACACCCCCGAGAACAGGGCACGGCUCCUGGGCGUGGGCAAGAAGGCUUGAGACCCGAGUUGCUUUCACUCACACACCUUCUCAGCCCAUGAAGGAUGUGACUGAGCUGACGCGGGUGUGGCUGGAGCCCAGAACAUCUACAAUAAAGGGACCUGUGUCCUCUGGGCUCUGCCUCACCGCCCGCGCCCGGCUGUGCAGCCGGGACAGUGCUCGGCCUCCAGGCUGGGGAGACGCGUGCCCUGCACCCCAGCAGAGCCUCUGCUGCUCUGCCUGGAAGGCCCCGUGUUCCCUGCUGCCACCAAACCCCUAUCGUGGCCUGGGAUGCCCCAAUUCGGCUCCCCGAGGCUACUUGGUGAGUGUUUCCAGGCCAGCCCGCCCUCCCUCGGUUCUUUGUGGCCCAGGGGCACCCCAGAGAACGCCCCAGCAGGAAGGGCCAGGGCAGACGGAGGCCUCUCUGCACCCGGCCCAGGUCAGGCGGGACAAUGGGUGAGCUAUGCAGCCAGACAGCAAGGCCAUACAAGUCCUGCCCUGGCUGCCUUGGCGGCUAAAAAUAGUCCCUCCUGCGCAGCCCUGCCUCAGCCCGCAGCCAGGAUGUUGUUUUUCUGGGCGGGCCCUCCUUGCUCCUGGUGUUUUGGGUUCAAAACACCGUUCCCUAGGCAGCCAGGGCCCCCAGCUCACCCAGCCGCUGGGGCCCAUGAGGGAGGCGGCUCUGGGGCCUCACGAGAGGGGCCCGUGGGCUUCCUAGUGUCCGCUCACCUGCUGUGAGCCUCCCACCUUUCACAACCCCUCCCACCACCCCGGCUCUGUCUCAUCGCCCCCCUGGCACUGGGGCUUCCUGGCAGAAUUCCAGUCAGACUUGUCAGGUCUGCAGCCAGCGUCCCUGCCACUUGCAGUGAUUCCAGCUCCCAACACUCAUGUGCGCUGCAGCCGCACAGCCCCGCGCAGGGGGCGGGCACCCAGGCCGCACAGCUGGCACGGGGCUGGCAGGUGGGCACGGCCCAGGUUUGAGUGUGGUCCCCACUGUGGGGUGUCCACACGCCUGCCCUUCCUCUAACUCUGGCAUCAUGCUAGAGCUGGACGGAUGGCGUGUGGGAGUGUCUGUGUAUUCGUGUGUCUGUGUGUCUGUGCGUGUGGGAGUCUCUGUGUAUUCGUGUGUCUGUCUGUGCCUGUGGGAGUCUCUGUGUAUUCGUGUGUCUGUCUGUGUGCCUGUGCAUGUGGGAGUCUCCGUGUAUUCAUGUGUCUGUCUGUGUGCCUGUGCCUGUGGGUGUCCUGUAUGAGUGUGCAUGUCUGCCUGUCCGCCUGGGUGUACGUCUGUAUUUGUGUGUCUGAAUCCAGUUCUACUUUUCAAAAUGUUCUGAGAAGACCAGGAGUUAAGAGGUGCCCGAGGUGGGGCAGGUGGCAGGCUGGGAAGGGGCAGUGGGGCAGGGCUAGCCCCUCACCACCCCGCCAACACUUUAUUUAUUUAUAAUAAAUAUUUUUAAUUAAGUCAAACACCAAACCAUAAAUGUUAAUAUUUGAUUGUUAGAAAACACAGCAUUUGGCUUAUGGAAAUAACCGCUUUAAAUGAAAUCUUUUAGGCACUUGGCUGUAGCCAACACUUUAAUUAAAUAGAUUUUACUGAAAA
This is an RNA transcript of Myotis myotis, 3918 nucleotides long. It is a transcript of the gene named tripartite motif containing 47, with no coding region annotated. The record is from RefSeq and is a predicted model, not a curated record. Lineage: Eukaryota; Metazoa; Chordata; Mammalia; Chiroptera; Vespertilionidae. The transcript has 7 exons.